AUGGAGGGAGCUGAUUUAGUCUUUCACUAUGUUCAGACUCAUUUAUAUUUCAACAAUGUCUUUCUAUUCAGUAAUGGUAUGAAUAAAUGUAUAGAAAUAUUCAUACCAACAAAGGGAGACUGCAUCUUUCCCUUUCCAUCUCUCUCCUAUACACUCUGGUUUGUUGUUGACAUGACAAAUGAAGCGUCAAAGGGAGACUGCAUCUUUCCCUUUCCAUCUCUCUCCUAUACACUCUGGUUUGUUGUUGACAUGACAAAUGAAGCGUCAAAGGGAGACUGCAUCUUUCCCUUUCCAUCUCUCUCCUAUACACUCUGGUUUGUUGUUGACAUGACAAAUGAAGCGUCAAAGGGAGACUGCAUCUUUCCCUUUCCAUCUCUCUCCUAUACACUCUGGUUUGUUGUUGACAUGACAAAUGAAGCGUCAAAGGGAGACUGCAUCUUUCCCUUUCCAUCUCUCUCCUAUACACUCUGGUUUGUUGUUGACAUGACAAAUGAAGCGUCAAAGGGAGACUGCAUCUUUCCCUUUCCAUCUCUCUCCUAUACACUCUGGUUUGUUGUUGACAUGACAAAUGAAGCGUCAAAGGGAGACUGCAUCUUUCCCUUUCCAUCUCUCUCCUAUACACUCUGGUUUGUUGUUGACAUGACAAAUGAAGCGUCAAAGGGAGACUGCAUCUUUCCCUUUCCAUCUCUCUCCUAUACACUCUGGUUUGUUGUUGACAUGACAAAUGAAGCGUCAAAGGGAGACUGCAUCUUUCCCUUUCCAUCUCUCUCCUAUACACUCUGGUUUGUUGUUGACAUGACAAAUGAAGCGUCAAAGGGAGACUGCAUCUUUCCCUUUCCAUCUCUCUCCUAUACACUCUGGUUUGUUGUUGACAUGACAAAUGAAGCGUCAAAGGGAGACUGCAUCUUUCCCUUUCCAUCUCUCUCCUAUACACUCUGGUUUGUUGUUGACAUGACAAAUGAAGCGUCAAAGGGAGACUGCAUCUUUCCCUUUCCAUCUCUCUCCUAUACACUCUGGUUUGUUGUUGACAUGACAAAUGAAGCGUCAAAGGGAGACUGCAUCUUUCCCUUUCCAUCUCUCUCCUAUACACUCUGGUUUGUUGUUGACAUGACAAAUGAAGCGUCAAAGGGAGACUGCAUCUUUCCCUUUCCAUCUCUCUCCUAUACACUCUGGUUUGUUGUUGACAUGACAAAUGAAGCGUCAAAGGGAGACUGCAUCUUUCCCUUUCCAUCUCUCUCCUAUACACUCUGGUUUGUUGUUGACAUGACAAAUGAAGCGUCAAAGGGAGACUGCAUCUUUCCCUUUCCAUCUCUCUCCUAUACACUCUGGUUUGUUGUUGACAUGACAAAUGAAGCGUCAAAGGGAGACUGCAUCUUUCCCUUUCCAUCUCUCUCCUAUACACUCUGGUUUGUUGUUGACAUGACAAAUGAAGCGUCAAAGGGAGACUGCAUCUUUCCCUUUCCAUCUCUCUCCUAUACACUCUGGUUUGUUGUUGACAUGACAAAUGAAGCGUCAAAGGGAGACUGCAUCUUUCCCUUUCCAUCUCUCUCCUAUACACUCUGGUUUGUUGUUGACAUGACAAAUGAAGCGUCAAAGGGAGACUGCAUCUUUCCCUUUCCAUCUCUCUCCUAUACACUCUGGUUUGUUGUUGACAUGACAAAUGAAGCGUCAAAGGGAGACUGCAUCUUUCCCUUUCCAUCUCUCUCCUAUACACUCUGGUUUGUUGUUGACAUGACAAAUGAAGCGUCAAAGGGAGACUGCAUCUUUCCCUUUCCAUCUCUCUCCUAUACACUCUGGUUUGUUGUUGACAUGACAAAUGAAGCGUCAAAGGGAGACUGCAUCUUUCCCUUUCCAUCUCUCUCCUAUACACUCUGGUUUGUUGUUGACAUGACAAAUGAAGCGUCAAAGGGAGACUGCAUCUUUCCCUUUCCAUCUCUCUCCUAUACACUCUGGUUUGUUGUUGACAUGACAAAUGAAGCGUCAAAGGGAGACUGCAUCUUUCCCUUUCCAUCUCUCUCCUAUACACUCUGGUUUGUUGUUGACAUGACAAAUGAAGCGUCAAAGGGAGACUGCAUCUUUCCCUUUCCAUCUCUCUCCUAUACACUCUGGUUUGUUGUUGACAUGACAAAUGAAGCGUCAAAGGGAGACUGCAUCUUUCCCUUUCCAUCUCUCUCCUAUACACUCUGGUUUGUUGUUGACAUGACAAAUGAAGCGUCAGAAUGAGUUGAUGUUUUACUAGGUGGAGAGAGAUGGAGUGAGAGGAAGAUGUAUGUGUAUUGAUGUGUGGAUUGAUGGAAGCAUGGAUGGAUAUGUGUUGUCAUGGAUACAGAGACAGAACACUGAGGGCAUGAGGCCAGUCUAUCAGGCCUCCUGCUGAAGGGAGGAGCACAUGGCUACAGAAUGGAACUGAUAAGGACUCCACUAUAGGUUCCUGUGCCCCUCUCUGCAUGUAGGAUGACGAUCUUGCAUCAGACUAAACCACAGGGGAGGCUUUCGGUUCAGUUCCAGGCCGAUCCUCGACUGUUCUGACUAGUUUUAUAUCCUAAAGUUUCUAGCCUUUUUACCAUCUUCUGCAAUCCAUAUGUUUUUGUUCAUUCCCUUAUUCCCCCUUUUAAUUUGUCCUUUGGGUGAAGCCGCUAAAGAUAAGCCCAAAAACUCCUACAUUUCCUCAGGGGACCAUGGAGAGAGGAGACUGUGACAGUGGACCUGGGGCCUCACAAAGUACAUGCGUCUCACAGUGAUUUGAACCGUUAGGUCAUAACUUAGUGUGUGUGUGUGUAUAUAUAUAUAUAUAUAUCAGUGAGGGGGAAAAGUAUUUGAUCCCCUGCUGAUUUUGAACGUUUGUCCACUGACAAAGAAAUGACCCGUCUAUAAUUUUAAUGGUAGUUUUAUUUGAACAGUGAGAGACAGAAUAACAACAAAAAAAUCCAGAAAACGCAUGUCAAAAAUGUUAUAAAUUGAUUUGCAUUUUAAUGAGGGAAAAACUUUUUUGACCCCCUCUCAAUCAAAAAGAUUGAGAGGGGGUCUGGCUCCCUUAUUUUUUAUACAGGUAACGAGCUGAGAUUAGGAGCACACUCUUAAAGGGAGUGCUCCUAAUCUCAGUUUGUUACCUGUAUAAAAGACACCUGUCCACAGAAGCAAUCAAUUAAUCAGAUUGCAAACUCUCCACCAUGGCCAAGACCAAAGAGCUCUCCAAGGAUGUCAGGGACAAGAUUGUAGACCUUCACAAGGCUGGAAUGGGCUACAAUACCAUCGCCUAGCAGCUUGGUGAGAAGGUGACAACAGUUGGUGUGAUAAUUCGCAAAUGGAAGAAACACAAAAGAACUGUCAAUCUCCCUCGGCCUGGGGCUCCAUGCAAGAUCUCACCUUGUGGAGUUGCAAUGAUCAUGAGAACGGUGAGGAAUCAGCCCAGAACUACACGGGAGGAUCUCAAGGCAGCUGGGACCAUAGUCACCAAGAAAACAAUUGGUAACACACUACGCCGUGAAGGACUAAAAUCCUGCAGCGCCCGCAAGGUCCCCCUGCGUAAGAAAGCAAUGACCCAAAACACACAGCCAAGGCAACAAAGGAGUGGCUCAAGAAGAAGCACCUGGCCUAGCCAGUCUCCAGACCUUAAUCCCGUAGAAAAUCUGUGGAGGGAGCUGAAGGUUCGAGUUGCCAAACGUCAGCCUCGAAACCUUAAUGACUUGGAGAAGAUCUGCAAAGAGGAGUGGGACAAAAUCCCUCCUGAGAUGUGUGCAAACCUGGUGGCCAACUACAAGAAACGUCUGACCUCUGUGAUUGCCAACAAGGGUUUUGCCACCAAGUACUAAGUCAUGUUUUGGGGGGUCAAAUACUUAUUUCCCUCAUUAAAAUGCAAAUCAAUUUAUAAAAGAUUUGACAUGCGAUUUUUCUGGAUUUUUUGUUGUUGUUGUUAUUCUGACUCACUGUUCAAAUAAACCUACCAUUAAAAAAGUAUAAACUGAUCCUUUCUUUGUCAGUGGGCAAACAUACAAAUAUAUAUAUCACUACAGCUAAGGACACGUACUGGGUCCACAGUCACCUAUCACCUCCAUUGGGGCUUGAUGGGGGUGAUUUAUAUGCCAAGAGAGUAAUUCUUCAUCACAGAAAUAUGUGUAAUCCAGCAUUUGCUUUACUGUAUAAAAUCCUCCUCCUUGCAGUCAUUUAAAUGGGGGUGGGAGUGGUCUGUUUGGAACUCAGGUCAGGUUUGGGGUCAGGACUCAGGGUCUGGUCGUGUUCACGUUGUGUUCGGACAGAGAACUGUCAGUGGAGGAUCAGUAAGAUACCCUGAUUAGCAUCAAGAACUCGUCUCACAGUAGUGACUAUGCAUGUUCAAGACAAUAUUUGUACCUGUGCUUAUGACUUUUGUAUGAUUAACAUUUCAUGACUUGAUGAAGAACCAAAUAUUGUUGUGAUAUGAUAAUAAGGAUACUGAUGGUGUUGAUAAAAAUGAUAAUAAUGGCAUCUAUGUUUGGCAUGCCCCUCCCCCCUCCUCUGUAUCAACACCCACCCUAGCCUUUGACUGGACCAAGCAUCUUGCUGAGCAGGAGGGUGCCACCUGUUGUGUUAAAGUAGUAUAGGCCUGUAGAUACAUUUUUCUAUAUUUAUUAACAACUUGUAAGCUUUGAUUCUGACAAAUGAAAUUCUCUGCUCAAUUAUGCAAUAAUAUUGUAAAAUCAGUUUAGCACAUGUUUUGCCUUUUGUUUUGGAAUUUCAAAUGUCUAUGCAAAUGGGGAAGUAUCAGUAAAUAAAUGUCUUUAUAUUUCUGAUCACUUGUCAUGUUUUGUUUUCAAAUCAAAUUUUAUUGAUCACAUACACAUGGUUAGCAGAUGUUAUUGUGAGUGUAGCGAAAUGCAGAUUUUUACUCUAAACCUACAAUUAUUUAUUUUUUAAUAGUCAUGUUGAUGUACUGAACUGUAGGUCAUUCUGUUAUUCUUUGCCUUACUAAUGGCUACCAAUGAAGGUGAUUUCCUACAGCAUACAGUGCCGUGAAAAACAAUAUUUGCCCCAUUUCUGAUUUUCUCUAUUUUUGCAUAUUUUCGACACUGGUUUUUAGAUCUUCAACCAAAACCUAAUAUUAGAUAAAGGGACCUGAGUUAACAAAUA
This 5106-nucleotide long non-coding RNA is filed under the name Oncorhynchus kisutch (coho salmon). RNAcentral describes it as "lncRNA (ENSOKIG00005033148.1)". The record is from RNAcentral. Lineage: Eukaryota; Metazoa; Chordata; Actinopteri; Salmoniformes; Salmonidae.